AGAGUUUGAUUCUGGCUCAGAUUGAACGCUGGCGGCAUGCCUUACACAUGCAAGUCGAACGGCAGCAUGAUCUAGCUUGCUAGAUUGAUGGCGAGUGGCGAACGGGUGAGUAAUACAUCGGAACGUGCCCUGUAGUGGGGGAUAACUAGUCGAAAGAUUAGCUAAUACCGCAUACGACCUGAGGGUGAAAGUGGGGGACCGCAAGGCCUCAUGCUAUAGGAGCGGCCGAUGUCUGAUUAGCUAGUUGGUGGGGUAAAGGCCCACCAAGGCGACGAUCAGUAGCUGGUCUGAGAGGACGAUCAGCCACACUGGGACUGAGACACGGCCCAGACUCCUACGGGAGGCAGCAGUGGGGAAUUUUGGACAAUGGGUGAAAGCCUGAUCCAGCAAUGCCGCGUGUGUGAAGAAGGCCUUCGGGUUGUAGAGCACUUUUGUCCGGAAAGAAAUGGCUCUGGUUAAUACCUGGGGUCGAUGACGGUGCCGGAAGAAUAAGGACCGGCUAACUACGUGCCAGCAGCCGCGGUCAUACGUAGGGUCCAAGCGUUCAUCGGAAUUACUGUGCGUAGAGCGUGCGCAGGCGGUUGUGCAAGACCGAUGUGAGAUCCCCGAGCUUAACUUGGGAAUUGCAUUGGUGACUGCACGGCUAGAGUGUGUCAGAGGGGGGUAGAAUUCCACGUGUAGCAGUGAAAUGCGUAGAGAUGUGGAGGAAUACCGAUGGCGAAGGCAGCCCCCUGGGAUAACACUGACGCUCAUGCACGAAAGCGUGAGCAACAAACAGGAUUAGAUACCCUGGUAGUCCACGCCCUAAACGAUGUCAACUAGUUGUUGGGGUAUUCAUUUCCUUAGUAACGUAGCUAACGCGUGAAGUUGACCGCCUGGGGAGGCCGUCCAAGAUUAAAACUCAAAGAAUUGACGGGGGCCCGCCCAAGCGGGGGAUGAUGUGAUUAAUUCGGAUGCAACGCGAAAACCUUUACCUACCCUUGACAUGCCACUAACGAAGCAGAGAUGCAUUAGGUGCUCGAAAGAGAAAGUGGACACAGGUGCUGCAUGGCUGUCGUCAGCUCGUGUCGUGAGAUGUUGGGUUAAGUCCCGCAACGAGCGCAACCCUUGUCUCUAGUUGCUAGAAAGGGGCACUCUAGAGAGACUGCCGGUGACAAACCGGAGGAAGGUGGGGAUGACGUCAAGUCCUCAUGGCCCUUAUGGGUAGGGCUUCACACGUCAUACAAUGGUGCAUACAGAGGGUUGCCAAGCCGCGAGGUGGAGCUAAUCCCAGAAAAUGCAUCGUAGUCCGGAUCGUAGGCUGCAACUCGCCUGCAUGAAGCCGGAAUCGCUAGUAAUCGCGGAUCAGCAUGCCGCGGUGAAUACGUUCCCGGGGCCUUGUACACACCGCCCGUC
RNAcentral lists this ribosomal RNA (1395 nucleotides) under uncultured bacterium. RNAcentral describes it as "16S ribosomal RNA". It matches the Rfam family "Bacterial small subunit ribosomal RNA". The record is from RNAcentral.